RNAcentral lists this ribosomal RNA (253 nucleotides) under uncultured bacterium. Its description in RNAcentral is "partial 16S ribosomal RNA". It matches the Rfam family "Bacterial small subunit ribosomal RNA", at positions 524 to 776 of the family's 1533-position model. The record is from RNAcentral.
GACAGAGGUGCCGAGCGUUAGGCGGAAUCACUGGGCUUAAAGCGUGUGUAGGUGGAUGCCUAAGUACCUUGUGAAAUCCCACGGCUUAACCGUGGAACUGCUCGGUAUACUGGGUGUCUUGAGCCAGCUAGGGGCUACCGGAACAAAUGGUGGAGCGGUGAAAUGCGUAGAUAUCAUUUGGAACGCCAAUGGUGAAAACAGGUAGCUGGGGCUGUGCUGAUACUGAGACACGAAAGCCAGGGGAGCGAACGGG